GCAGUCGAACGCUUCUUUUCCCACCGGAGCUUGCUCCACCGGGAAAAGAGGAGUGGCGAACGGGUGAGUAACACGUGGGUAACCUGCCCAUCAGAAGGGGAUAACACUUGGAAACAGGUGCUAAUACCGUAUAACAAUCGAAACCGCAUGGUUUCGUUUUGAAAGGCGCUUUACGGUGCCGCUGAUGGAUGGACCCGCGGUGCAUUAGCUAGUUGGUGAGGUAACGGCUCACCAAGGCCACGAUGCAUAGCCGACCUGAGAGGGUGAUCGGCCACAUUGGGACUGAGACACGGCCCAAACUCCUACGGGAGGCAGCAGUAGGGAAUCUUCGGCAAUGGACGAAAGUCUGACCGAGCAACGCCGCGUGAGUGAAGAAGGUUUUCGGAUCGUAAAACUCUGUUGUUAGAGAAGAACAAGGGUGAGAGUAACUGUUCACCCCUUGACGGUAUCUAACCAGAAAGCCACGGCUAACUACGUGCCAGCAGCCGCGGUAAUACGUAGGUGGCAAGCGUUGUCCGGAUUUAUUGGGCGUAAAGCGAGCGCAGGCGGUUUCUUAAGUCUGAUGUGAAAGCCCCCGGCUCAACCGGGGAGGGUCAUUGGAAACUGGGAGACUUGAGUGCAGAAGAGGAGAGUGGAAUUCCAUGUGUAGCGGUGAAAUGCGUAGAUAUAUGGAGGAACACCAGUGGCGAAGGCGGCUCUCUGGUCUGUAACUGACGCUGAGGCUCGAAAGCGUGGGGAGCAAACAGGAUUAGAUACCCUGGUAGUCCACGCCGUAAACGAUGAGUGCUAAGUGUUGGAGGGUUUCCGCCCUUCAGUGCUGCAGCUAACGCAUUAAGCACUCCGCCUGGGGAGUACGACCGCAAGGUUGAAACUCAAAGGAAUUGACGGGGGCCCGCACAAGCGGUGGAGCAUGUGGUUUAAUUCGAAGCAACGCGAAGAACCUUACCAGGUCUUGACAUCCUUUGACCACUCUAGAGAUAGAGCUUCCCCUUCGGGGGCAAAGUGACAGGUGGUGCAUGGUUGUCGUCAGCUCGUGUCGUGAGAUGUUGGGUUAAGUCCCGCAACGAGCGCAACCCUUAUUGUUAGUUGCCAUCAUUUAGUUGGGCACUCUAGCAAGACUGCCGGUGACAAACCGGAGGAAGGUGGGGAUGACGUCAAAUCAUCAUGCCCCUUAUGACCUGGGCUACACACGUGCUACAAUGGGAAGUACAACGAGUCGCGAAGUCGCGAGGCUAAGCUAAUCUCUUAAAGCUUCUCUCAGUUCGGAUUGUAGGCUGCAACUCGCCUACAUGAAGCCGGAAUCGCUAGUAAUCGCGGAUCAGCACGCCGCGGUGAAUACGUUCCCGGGCCUUGUACACACCGCCCGUCACACCACGAGAGUUUGUAACACCCGAAGUCGGUGAGGUAACCUUUUUGGAGCCAGCCGCCUAAGGUGGGAUAGAUGA
Molecule: ribosomal RNA, 1445 nt
Filed under: Enterococcus mundtii
Lineage: Bacteria; Bacillati; Bacillota; Bacilli; Lactobacillales; Enterococcaceae
Description: bacterial SSU rRNA
Rfam family: Bacterial small subunit ribosomal RNA
Source: RNAcentral